UCGCGUGAACAGAUCGCUCGGUUCUGCAAAUCUAGAAUUCGUCGCUCGUCGCCCGGAAGUGCUAUGAGCGACUAGCCAAUAGCGCGAAGCCGGAACUGGAUGUACAUAACUCAAGUACUUCCGAUUGUCGCACGGAACGAGCAAACGAUUGAAUUUUUAUACGUGCAAGGAUAAGAACCUACUGCAAAACUUGCAGAAAUAUUUUAUGCUGCUUUUUACAGUAAAAUACAUCAACUUAAGUUAAUAAAGCACGCGUCACGCUAGUUUCGGCGCCUAUAUUGCUGCCCUCAUACCGGCAACACUGGAGAGACGUCGCUCGAAGUCAUCGCUCCAUAGAGUUACUAUACUGCCUCUAGAGGACAAGCUACCCAUAGGGCCCAUGCAUUGAAAUCGGGAACCGCAAGAGCGCCGCCAUGUUGCUACGCGCCGAGGUUGCCAGCUCCUGAGACGCUUGCUAGACUUGGUGGCAGUAGUCAGUUUUAAUCCGGCAACCGUAGCAGCGUAGCAGCAUGGCGUCUCGCUUGUAGUGUCGCACGGAGGAAGGAAACUAAGGAGAGGCCCUGACGUCACUCUUUGUGAAGCAAAAGUGAAGCCGGAAUUUGGCGUUGCUCAUGGCGAUGCUCCGCCUUUUGGGCCACCCUCCUCUCUUGUUUACAUCUUUCGCGAAACCACGCCGCGCUGCUCGUGGUGCCGCGCGCUCGCGCAACAUCUGGCAGAGCACGGUGCAGGUAACACAGCGCAACAAGACACGGUGACUAACGCAAACCCGCCCACUCAGCGCCUUUGCCACGGCCCGAAACCUACCAGAGCAACACGUGUGAGCGCUCAAAACCAUAACAACGCCGCCAUUGUGGCCCAAAAGGCGUGGCCAUACAACAAAAACAAAAAACAAAAAAGCAGCAAAAAAAUGAGAACCUACUACGUCAUUUCCGCCACACUUUUCUCCUAGCGCGCGGAGGGGGUAGGGCCUCUCCUUAGUUUCCUUCCUCCGUGUAGUGUCGUGAUGUGUGCUUGCAGCCGUGUGUUUGGGCUUUAUAAGUUGGUUCUUUAUUCUAUGUUGCGGGACGGUGUGGGUGUGGUCCAUGUUGGCCGUACAGGUGGCAUUUAUGCAACCGAGGGAUGAUCCUGUUGAAGUUUCCGGCGGUAUGCGGUUUUCAGCGGUCACGCCUGUUGCAGGAGUGUCACUCGACGAGGUUACGAGCUUGAAGCUGUGGUCAGAUUCCUCGUUGGCGUUCCGUAAUUCUCUUCGCACGGACGCGGGAUCUGAUGUGCAUAUCUGCAGUUUAUGGAUACAUGUAAAAGACUCAGCAUCAAGUGCAAGUGAACGGUCCCACAGGCCCGGAGUCGAUCAUGCAAAUAGAUUCGCUGCACACAUUUGUGACCAGAAAAGAUAUGCCACAUGAAAUGGCAUGCAAGGAAGUGUUGAAAAUAUUGCACAGUUAAUAAAACGCCUACGCUAUUAAUAUGUGGGUUGAUGCACUCGUUAUGCAAAACGGAGGUGAGGCGUGCAGACAGGACACAAGAGUAGAGUAUUUACAAGCAAACAACACGAGCGCCGCCCACUUCUCUACUCUUGUGUCCUGUCUGGACGCCUCACCUCUGUUUUGCAUAAUGAAUCCUUACCAACUAGCUCAGCUUUCUGUCGUUCUAAGUCUCGAUGCACUCGAUUUCGUCCGCAUUAGGCACUCGCCUCUUGAUUACUUCGUGGCGCAGAAAUACUCGGCAUCAGGCUGUUUUUCUGCUGUGGCCUUUGUAGAAGCAUGAUUGUUCAAAGUGCAACAAUUAAACAGAUUCUUUGAGUU
Molecule: long non-coding RNA, 1802 nt
Organism: Dermacentor andersoni
Lineage: Eukaryota; Metazoa; Arthropoda; Arachnida; Ixodida; Ixodidae
Source: RefSeq, a predicted model, not a curated record